CACGCCGUAAACUAUGAUUACUAGUUGUUUGCGAUAUAUUGUAAGCGACUGCGCGAAAGCAUUAAGUAAUCCACCUGGGGAGUACGUUGGCAACAAUGAAACUCAAAGGAAUUGACGGGGGCCCGCACAAGCGGAGGAACAUGUGGUUUAAUUCGAUGAUACGCGAGGAACCUUACCUGGGCUUAAAUGGGGAGUGACAGGCUUGGAAACAGGUCCUUCUUCGGACACUCUUCAAGGUGC
RNAcentral lists this ribosomal RNA (240 nucleotides) under uncultured Bacteroidota bacterium. RNAcentral's name for it is "uncultured Bacteroidetes bacterium partial 16S ribosomal RNA". It matches the Rfam family "Bacterial small subunit ribosomal RNA", at positions 796 to 1041 of the family's 1533-position model. Lineage: Bacteria; Pseudomonadati; Bacteroidota. The record is from RNAcentral.